GGAUCAUUACCACAAAUUAAUCCAUUUCUAAUUCCGGUGAAACACUUUAUAAAUGUCUGCUGUCAUUUCUUUUUUUUAUAUGAAGAUUUGAAUAGCGCCCUUUUUUAAAUCCUUUUUUAUUUUAUUUCGAAAGUUUCAUCAACGAACAUUGAAAUAACUUUUAGCGAUGGAUGUCUAGGUUCUCGCAACGAUGAAGAACGCAGCGAAAUGCGAUACGUAAUGCGAAUUGCAGAAUCCGUGAAUCAUCAAAAUUUUGAACGCACAUUGCACUUCCUGGUUUCCGGGAAGUAUUUCUGUUUGAGUGUCUGUUCUCUCAUCUCACUGAAUUUCAGUGGAUUUUGGGUUUUUAUGUAUGUGUGCGCGCAAGUGGCAUGUUGACCUAAAACCUGUUUGGUAUGCUAAGCCUCACAAAAACUUUGGAUAAUCUACUUUUUUCAAAGAAAAAGGUGCAGGUGUUUUUACGCAUAAAAACAACAUUACAAAUCAGACCUCAAAUCAGGAAA
Molecule: ribosomal RNA, 503 nt
Filed under: Aplanochytrium sp. S19610
Lineage: Eukaryota; Bigyra; Thraustochytrida; Thraustochytriidae
Description: eukaryotic LSU rRNA
Rfam family: 5.8S ribosomal RNA (bases 156-307)
Source: RNAcentral